RNAcentral lists this ribosomal RNA (253 nucleotides) under uncultured bacterium. Its description in RNAcentral is "partial 16S ribosomal RNA". It matches the Rfam family "Bacterial small subunit ribosomal RNA", at positions 524 to 776 of the family's 1533-position model. The record is from RNAcentral.
UACGUAGGGUGCAAGCGUUGUCCGGAAUUAUUGGGCGUAAAGAGCUCGUAGGCGGUUUGUCGCGUCUGCUGUGAAAAUCCAGGGCUUAACCCUGGACCUGCAGUGGGUACGGGCAGACUAGAGUGCGGUAGGGGAGAUCGGAAUUCCUGGUGUAGCGGUGAAAUGCGCAGAUAUCAGGAGGAACACCGGUGGCGAAGGCGGAUCUCUGGGACGGUACUGACGCUGAGGCGCGAAAGCGUGGGGAGCAAACAGG